UGUCCAUGGCCGUACCACCCCGAAUAUACCCAAUCUUGUCUGAUCUUGAAAGCUAAGUAGGGUCAGGUGUGGUUAGUACUUGGAUGGAGACAUUGAACACAAAGACAUUACAU
Molecule: ribosomal RNA, 113 nt
Filed under: Microcebus murinus (gray mouse lemur)
Lineage: Eukaryota; Metazoa; Chordata; Mammalia; Primates; Cheirogaleidae
Source: RNAcentral